Molecule: long non-coding RNA, 2018 nt
Organism: Entelurus aequoreus (snake pipefish)
Lineage: Eukaryota; Metazoa; Chordata; Actinopteri; Syngnathiformes; Syngnathidae
Exons: 3
Source: RefSeq, a predicted model, not a curated record
UCAAGACAGCCAUGACAUUAUGUUCUUUACAACUUUUGACCACGACUGUAUAUUAUAUAUUCAUUGGCCAACGUUUUUGACCUUAUUAAGAAAACAUAUUGUAUAUAAUUUAUGUAUUUACAAGAUAAAUACUAGUAUUUAAAAUGUAUUACUUGAAAUACCAAGUUUAUUUAGCAUGACGUUGCUGACCAAUAAAAUAAAAAGCAUAAUAUUUUGUCCUGUUUCAUUUUCCCUAAGACGGACUGCUGCAGUUACCGUCCAUGGCCACAAGAUGGCGGCAGAUGUUCGUGCGACAACAGACAAGACGCUUGUGUUGUCCUGAAGUCAAUCGUUAAUAUUAUUUACAUAAUUACUUGAUAAUACUUUUCUACUAGUGACUGCAAUGCUUUAAUUUGGAGCUAAAGUUGUUUUUAUUUAUUGUAUGCUAUAAUCGGUGAACAGCAGUUAGGCGAUGUCACUUCCGCUAAAUUACUUCCUGUUGGUUGACUUCCGGUAUUCGUUCGAAAGCAAGUACAUGUUGCGGUCUUCUGUAGUCAUUUAUGUUGCUAUCCUACACAAAGCAGCGAGGAAGCAAUGCCACGGACUGCUGCAGUUACCGUCCAUGGCCACAAGAUGGCGGCAGAAGUUAGCGCGACAACAGCAGGACGAGACGCUAUUUGGACACAUGUUCGAUUCCCAGAACUGUCACGACUUUAAAUGAAGAAAAUGAUGUGAGUUUUAACAUUUUUGCCUUUUGAAAAAAAAAGCAGGCUGUUUUUAAAGACACAAAUGUGGACUAAAGUAUCAGAAACACAUCUUUUGACAAACUGCCUGUGGGAACUUGUGACGUCACAGCUCGCUAAUGUUGGACAAGUUCUAGUUCUUGUCUGAAAAGAACCGAACGCUUUGCGGUCCCGAUCGAUUGAAGUGAUCGAUCAGGAGCAGCGUGUGUGCCUUUGAAAGUCCACAAGGGCUUUGCUCAGUGGCUCUGGGCGUAGCAGGCGGGGACCACCAGGGCGCCCCUGGACGCCCACUCCGCCCACAUCCUGCCGGCGGUCUGAUACGUGCGCUCCGUCUUCGCCGACUCUGACGUGGCGGUCUCGGCCAGGGACCAGAUUUUGGGUUUGGGCGUGUCUUUGCCGUCCGGAGAAGAGUCCACAGGCGGAGGCUGCGUGGUGGCCUCCGAGGUCUUCUCCUGGGCUCCUUCUGCAGGAUGCUCCUCAUCCUCACUUCUCUUCAGAGGCUCCUCCUCCUCGUCCUCAUCGCUCUCCUGCUCCUCGUCCUCCUCGUCAGACUUGGACCUGGAGGAGGCCCAGCUGACCCGGUUCUCCUUCUUGAGGCGGCGGCGAGCGUUGGCGAACCAGGUGGAGACCUGCGUCAGGCUCAUCUUGGUGAUGAUGGCCAGCAUGACCUUCUCACCUUUGGUGGGGUAAGGGUUCUUCAGGUGCUCGCUGAGCCACGCCUUCAGCGCCCCCGUGCUCUCGCGGGUGGCCACCUUGGCGCUGCCGCGUCCGGGCUCCUCGGCCGUGCCGGGCCGGUAGGGCGAGAAGAAGGGACCCCCGCGCGCCAAAAGAGCGUGGUGGUAGGGGGAGGCGGCCGUGGUCUUCAGGUCAAAGCUGUUGCCCUGCAAACCAGAAAGAAACGUCAGCAUUUCAAAGAAAUGUAAUCUAAAUAAUUUUUUGGUCGUCAACUACUUACUCGUUCUUACAUAUAUACUGUAUGUCUUUUUAUGUUUUUCUUAUUUUUUCCCAGAUUUUAUCUUAUUUUAUUAUUGAUGUGCUAAUUUUAUUUUGUAUUGAAUUAACUACAUAUUAUAUUAUUUUAUUUGUACUUUAUUGAAGUAUAUAUUUUAAUGUUAUGUAAUAUUUUAUAUUUAUAAAUUUAACUGAUAUUUUCUACACUUUUUAUUUUAUUAUAUGCUGUAUAUUUGUACUUUUAAUUUAAUAGUAUUCUCUACUUAUUUUUAUUCUAUUUAAUUAGUUUGUAUAUAUUAAAAUUUUAUGUAACAAUGUUUUAUAUUUAUAAAUUUAACUGAUAUU